Molecule: microRNA precursor, 52 nt
Filed under: Bos taurus (domestic cattle)
Lineage: Eukaryota; Metazoa; Chordata; Mammalia; Artiodactyla; Bovidae
Also listed under: 5 other names
Description: mir-1302 microRNA precursor family
Rfam family: mir-1302 microRNA precursor family
Source: Rfam by way of RNAcentral
CUUUUAGUAUAAAUAUGUCCCAUGCAAUAUUUAGGAUGGACUUAUACUAAAA